RNAcentral lists this long non-coding RNA (207 nucleotides) under Bos taurus (domestic cattle). Its description in RNAcentral is "long non-coding RNA NONBTAT024829". Lineage: Eukaryota; Metazoa; Chordata; Mammalia; Artiodactyla; Bovidae. The record is from RNAcentral.
GUUGUGUUCAUCCUCAGCUUUAGUAGAGUUUUUCCAAAGAAGAGACUCAGAAAACACUCGAAUUGAAUUCCAAGUUGUGGAAGUCCCUUUUCAGCUUGUGGCUAGCAAGUAACACUCUCAGCAAUCAACAGUGCCAUCUCACCACGGGAAGAACAGAGAAGACUUUAUUCAUUUCACGCUGUACAUCUCCAAGGAACCACACCUGAC